ACCAAUUGUUGCCUCGGCGGAUCAGCCCGCUCCCGGUAAAACGGGACGGCCCGCCAGAGGACCCCUAAACUCUGUUUCUAUAUGUAACUUCUGAGUAAAACCAUAAAUAAAUCAAAACUUUCAACAACGGAUCUCUUGGUUCUGGCAUCGAUGAAGAACGCAGCAAAAUGCGAUAAGUAAUGUGAAUUGCAGAAUUCAGUGAAUCAUCGAAUCUUUGAACGCACAUUGCGCCCGCCAGUAUUCUGGCGGGCAUGCCUGUUCGAGCGUCAUUUCAACCCUCAAGCCCUCGGGUUUGGUGUUGGGGAUCGGCGAGCCCUUGCGGCAAGCCGGCCCCGAAAUCUAGUGGCGGUCUCGCUGCAGCUUCCAUUGCGUAGUAGUAAAACCCUCGCAACUGGUACGCGGCGCGGCCAAGCCGUUAAACCCCCAACUUCUGAAUGUUGACCUCGGAUCAGGUAGGAAUACCCGCUGAACUUAAGCAUAUCA
Molecule: ribosomal RNA, 483 nt
Filed under: Fusarium verticillioides
Lineage: Eukaryota; Fungi; Ascomycota; Sordariomycetes; Hypocreales; Nectriaceae
Description: eukaryotic LSU rRNA
Rfam family: 5.8S ribosomal RNA (bases 116-269)
Source: RNAcentral